Molecule: long non-coding RNA, 490 nt
Organism: Malaclemys terrapin pileata
Lineage: Eukaryota; Metazoa; Chordata; Testudines; Emydidae
Exons: 4
Source: RefSeq, a predicted model, not a curated record
CAGCCCUGUGCAACAAGCCAGCACAGAUCCUGGGGCAUCUGAUUGCUGGGACCAGAUAAACACAGAGGCAAACUAGUGGAAUGCAGCACCCCAUGGUGUAGAACCUACCGUUUACACAUGAUGACGGAGUUACUCCUUUGGUUCAAGUGCGGCUGGCUUGCGCUUUCACUGUUGAAGAUCUCAGGUCACUGUAUCUAUAUGAUCAUUGUCCUCUGGAGGCUGAAACCGGAACAGCAAAUGCACCAGAAAGAAAACAAGGGAUGGAACAAAAGGCCAGUCCAGAGCUUAUUCAUCUGAAUUUUAGUAUUUGUUUCUUUCUUCAGAAUAUGAAACUCCCUCUCAAAAUGAUGAACUUGUUUGUACAACUGGUUGGACAAAUUCCACUGAAACCAUAGUGCAUCAGAAGAUGCGGGUCCAUCGAAACGGAAAUGCUCCAUGGAGUAAGGCUGAUUUUGUUGGAUUUUUGUUUUGGAAGAAACCUGGGGGAAAA